Molecule: ribosomal RNA, 484 nt
Filed under: uncultured bacterium
Lineage: Bacteria
Description: partial 16S ribosomal RNA
Rfam family: Bacterial small subunit ribosomal RNA
Source: RNAcentral
AUUGAACGCUGGCGGCAUGCUUUACACAUGCAAGUCGAACGGCAGCGCGGGCUUCGGCCUGGCGGCGAGUGGCGAACGGGUGAGUAAUGCAUCGGAACGUGCCCAGUAGUGGGGGAUAGCCCGGCGAAAGCCGGAUUAAUACCGCAUACGACCUGAGGGUGAAAGCGGGGGACCGAAAGGCCUCGCGCUAUUGGAGCGGCCGAUGUCGGAUUAGCUAGUUGGUGGGGUAAAGGCUUACCAAGGCGACGAUCCGUAGCUGGUCUGAGAGGAAGACCAGCCACACUGGGACUGAGACACGGCCCAGACUCCUACGGGAGGCAGCAGUGGGGAAUUUUGGACAAAGGGGGCAACCCUGAUCCAGCCAUGCCGCGUGCGGGAAGAAGGCCUUCGGGUUGUAAACCGCUUUUGUUCGGGAAGAAAUCCUCUGGGCUAAUACCCCGGGGGGAUGACGGUACCGGAAGAAUAAGCACCGGCUAACUACGUG